CGAAAAUCUCAGAAACCGAAAAUCUCGUAACACCGGCCUGGGACAUCAGACUCGAUAUCAUUACGUCAUCGCGAGUGGCGUCAUUACGUUAGGGCGUAAAAGAACCGAUGAACCGGUUUUUUGAACCGGUUCAUUGAAACGAAUUGUCCGAAAGAACCGGUUCGCGUCACUUCCCAUCACUAUUUAAACGUAUCUCAGUUGGAGCCUGCAAUCACAGGGAAACAGUGAUAAAGUAAUAAAGUUCUUGUCACUCCUCCUCUGCAACCAACAACGCACCUCCCUAUGCUCACUGCCUUCAUCAGCGCAGAGAAGCCUGAACCAGAAAACAGGAAUACGUCUCAGCAGAGCACAAGGCAAAGGAAAUUUCAAUCAAAAUCCAAUAAUCAGACAAAUGGAUUCCAGCCAGUCUUUCAAUCAGCCUCCAGAAGCCUGGAACUCAUCUGAGAAAUCAGCGAUGUUGCAUCCUUCAGCACCACCAACAGCAUACCAAGACAAUCCUGCUGGAUAUCCUCCCUCCUUUCCAAGCCAGCCAGUCCCCCAGGGCCCCUACACCCAGGGGCCGUAUCCAGGACAAACUGUGGUCGCUGUACAGCCUGCAGUUUUUGAGAUUGCUUCUCCACUGGCCAAUCCAUUGCCAGAUUACUUGGGCUACUCCAUCUUCACCAUGCUGUGCUGCUGUUUACCUCUGGGCAUUGCUGCCCUGGUUUUCUCCUGCUCCACUCGAAAUGCCAACUACUCAGGACAGCGAGAAUUAGCAGAAAAGAACUCCAAAACGACACUCAUCCUGAAUCAUGCCGCCCUUGGUAUUGGCCUUGUUCUCCUUGUACUGUUGAUUAUCGUCAAUGUUUUGGUUUUAAUUUGAAAAAGUUGUCAUGGAUGGAUGCAGACUACAAAGAGAUUUGAUUCUUUACAUUUUAAAUGCUAUUUGCUCAGUGUAUCAUUAAAGCCUGCAACAUGUGCUUUAAGGCUGAUUAUUGCAUGUUAAGACUUUUUGCUUAUCUUAUAUGCAGCUGUGCUAAUUUGAGUUUUUUACAUACAGUUUUAUUAUGUAUGUACAUAUAUGGGCAUAAAUCUGUCUGUCUGUGUAUGCAGGCAACUGUGUAUCUGACAGUUAAUACCUACAGUACCUGCCAAUUUAUAAAAAAUGAAUUUCGGGUAACACUUUAUAAUAACUUUAAUUAAUCAAUAACAAACAUUAUAUAAUCCUUAACAGAUCAUUAGUUAAUAUAUAUUCAUGUAGCUAGAAACAUGAGAUAAUGUGCUUGUUAAUGUUUACUAAAAUUAUUUAACAUUACCUAAUGAUCAACAGAUAAUUAAUGUAAAUUACAAUGCUUACAAACGUCAUUAAACGUUUAAUUCAUAUGAUCAUGCACAUCUUGAAAAUCUACAAAUUAUUUUAACAGAUGUUAUACAAUGAUUAAAAGCUUUUGUUAAUGUACAACACUUUUGCUGCUAUUGAGGUGUGAUAUGGGUAGGUUAGGGUUAGGGUUUGGUGGUAUGUGUAGGUUUAACUGUUGGAUGAGGGGUCAAAAGUGUAAAGGGGUCAGUUUGAUUACUAAAAGGGAGCAUGGUACAAUCUGUUUAUAUUACAUUUGUUUUGAGAAAUGAACAAGUAUUUUGAUUUGUUUUCUCCUGCUGAUGUAUGAUUCAAGGAAUACCCUGUUUAAUGAUAUAGUAUACUAUAAGUGUUGAGGCAAUAAAAACAUUUCCCAUCCAAAUUAUGUAUAUUAUGUCUUUAAGGAGCAUUUAUAUAAACUUAACUAACCACCCUGUACACAAACGUUGUUACAGCAGCUAGAAGUCCAAUGCCCAUAAAGGUAGCUACUGAAUGAUUAGUAAACGUUUCUAAACAUUUACCAAUGAUGAAUGGUUUCCACUUUAGAUUGGGUACUGCAAAAACGUGAAUAAAUGAUUAAUAAAUGACUUGUUAAGAUGUGAAAACAGUAGAAGUUUAAAUACAACCGAAGACCAAAUAUAUGACCUUUACAGACUGUGAUUAUGAGUUAAUUAAUAAUAUGUUAACAUGAAUACACUGAAAAAAUUAAUCUGGGUGGAUGUAAAUGUUACAUAAUUAGAUCUGUGAUAUUAACUAUAAAAUGUUAAGUUUCUGUCUUUACAUUCAUACAUCUAGUUUUGAAUUAAUCUGCAUUUGUUCAAAAUACAAGACAAUGUGCUUUUUUUCUUUACAAAAUGUAUCUAAGUAAUCCCAACCAA
Molecule: long non-coding RNA, 2214 nt
Organism: Cyprinus carpio carpio
Lineage: Eukaryota; Metazoa; Chordata; Actinopteri; Cypriniformes; Cyprinidae
Source: Ensembl